This 72-nucleotide transfer RNA is filed under the name Pseudomonadota bacterium. RNAcentral's name for it is "tRNA-Gly". It matches the Rfam family "tRNA". From Rfam's summary of the family: Transfer RNA (tRNA) molecules are approximately 80 nucleotides in length. Their secondary structure includes four short double-helical elements and three loops (D, anti-codon, and T loops). The record is from RNAcentral. RNAcentral also lists the same sequence under 2 other names. Lineage: Bacteria; Pseudomonadati; Pseudomonadota.
GCGGGUGUAGUUCAGUGGUAGAACGUGUGCUUCCCAAGCACAAUGUCGUGGGUUCGAAUCCCAUCACCCGCU